Triticum aestivum (bread wheat) is the source of this 135-nucleotide non-coding RNA. Lineage: Eukaryota; Viridiplantae; Streptophyta; Magnoliopsida; Poales; Poaceae. The record is from Rfam.
CAAGUACUCCAUCCGUCCCAAAAUUCUUGUCUUAGAUUUGUCUAGAUACGGAUGUAUCUAGUUACGUUUUAGUGUUAGAUACAUUCGUAUCUAGACAAAUUUAAGACAAGAAUUUUGGGACAGAGGGAGUAAAAA